Molecule: long non-coding RNA, 181 nt
Organism: Sphaerodactylus townsendi
Lineage: Eukaryota; Metazoa; Chordata; Lepidosauria; Squamata; Sphaerodactylidae
Exons: 3
Source: RefSeq, a predicted model, not a curated record
UCGAAGGCAUCGGGCUGACCCCGCCCUCGUCGUCAGCCGGAGCGACAAACGCCGGCGAAGACGCCGAUUGGUUCCUGCUCGACGCAAGCGCGGUGGGGCUUUGCCGCGCCGAGGUGGUCUUGUGAGGCUGUGGGUUCGAGUCCCGGUUGGGUCAAAACGGGUCCCGCAGAUGAAAUGGAGG